Molecule: microRNA precursor, 58 nt
Filed under: Lingula anatina
Lineage: Eukaryota; Metazoa; Brachiopoda; Lingulata; Lingulida; Lingulidae
Description: Lan-Mir-278_pre stem-loop
Source: RNAcentral
CUGAAUGAAGAUCUCCGCCAAUCUUGGUGUUGACGGUCGGUGGGAUUUUCGUUCGGUC